AAACCUGCUCUUCCUUUCAUUCAAGGCUCCUCAAGUUCCUUCAAAAACGUGUUUUCUCAUUUUGUGAGUUGAGUGAUUGGUACAAAUGCAUAAUGAUAUUGGUUCUCAUAAAAUUGUGUUUCGUGUUUAUUUGCUUCAGCUCAGCUGAAAAAAAUGUCACUAAAUCUAGCGCUGAAAUUGAAUCAGAAAAAGACCAGGAAAUUCUUAAAGAAAGUAUCCAACUUUAUGGCUCGCCACGAUCUAUGAGUACGCUCGAUUUGCCGGGACCUCGACUAACCAGAAGCAAUUUAAAUGACGUAUCUACAGAAGUUAAAUUUAAUAAUAGUGGAACAGGAAACUAUAGUUUUGAGUUUUAUGCAAAAACGAAAAAAUUUGCCUAUCUCGAGCGCUACGAAGUUGGGGAAAUUAAAAAAAUAGGCAAUGAAACGAUUCAAACGGUUCGAGGGCAAUUCGCUGAAAGAAUUGAUGGAGGAAAAGAAUUAUUUUAUAUUAGAACUAUUGGGUAUACGGCCGACCAGAAUGGUUACCAACCAUUUUUACUUGACCUUUCAAAAGUUAAAACCACUUAUAUGCUCGUUUAUGCAAUUGCUCAUUUAGUUGGGAUUCCAAUGGGACCAAAAAUUGCGAUUUCAUCAACUGUGAUAGCAACACUGACAGGAGGAAAUUUGGGUUGAAUAUAAUUCUAAUUGAAGAAGUAAGAAUAUUAUUAAUUCUUGACCUACGACAAAAUCUACAAAUGCGUAAACAACUAUAUUGCGGUUUAAGUUGUCCUUAUUCUGUACAAUUUCUACAAUUAAAAACUUGUUUCCUGUUUCA
Molecule: RNA transcript, 816 nt
Organism: Tribolium castaneum (red flour beetle)
Lineage: Eukaryota; Metazoa; Arthropoda; Insecta; Coleoptera; Tenebrionidae
Exons: 4
Source: RefSeq, a predicted model, not a curated record